GGACGAACGCUGGCGGCGUGCCUAAUACAUGCAAGUAGAACGCUGAAGGAGGAGCCUGCUUCUCCGGAUGAGUUGCGAACGGGUGAGUAACGCGUAGGUAACCUGCCUGGUAGCGGGGGAUAACUAUUGGAAACGAUAGCUAAUACCGCAUAACAGUAGAUGUUGCAUGACAUUUGCUUAAAAGGUGCAAUUGCAUCACUACCAGAUGGACCUGCGUUGUAUUAGCUAGUUGGUGAGGUAACGGCUCACCAAGGCGACGAUACAUAGCCGACCUGAGAGGGCGAUCGGCCACACUGGGACUGAGACACGGCCCAGACUCCUACGGGAGGCAGCAGUAGGGAAUCUUCGGCAAUGGACGGAAGUCUGACCGAGUAACGCCGCGUGAGUGAAGAAGGUUUUCGGAUCGUAAAGCUCUGUUGUAAGAGAAGAACGAGUGUGAGAGUGGAAAGUUCACACUGUGACGGUAUCUUACCAGAAAGGGACGGCUAACUACGUG
RNAcentral lists this ribosomal RNA (496 nucleotides) under uncultured bacterium. RNAcentral's name for it is "partial 16S ribosomal RNA". It matches the Rfam family "Bacterial small subunit ribosomal RNA", at positions 27 to 507 of the family's 1533-position model. The record is from RNAcentral.